GGUUAAGUGACUAAGCGUACAUGGUGGAUGCCUUGGCAGUCAGAGGCGAUGAAGGACGUACUAACCUGCGAUAAGCCGUGAGCAGUCGGUAAGAGACAUUACGACUCACGGAUUUCCGAAUGGGGAAACCCACUUAGCAUAAGCUAGGUAUCGCUGCGUGAAUACAUAGCGUAGCGAGGCGAACCGGGAGAACUGAAACAUCUAAGUACCCCGAGGAAAAGAAAUCAACCGAGAUUCCCUCAGUAGCGGCGAGCGAACGGGGAUUAGCCCUUAAGCAUCUUGGAAGUUAGUGGAACGGUCCUGGAAAGGCCGGCGAUACAGGGUGAUAGCCCCGUACACGAAAACAACCUUGAUGUGAAAUCGAGUAGGGCGGGACACGUGACAUCCUGUCUGAAUAUGGGGGGACCAUCCUCCAAGGCUAAAUACUCCUGACUGACCGAUAGUGAACCAGUACCGUGAGGGAAAGGCGAAAAGAACCCCUGUGAGGGGAGUGAAAUAGAACCUGAAACCGUGUACGUACAAGCAGUGGGAGCCCUUCGGGGUGACUGCGUACCUUUUGUAUAAUGGGUCAGCGACUUACAUUUUGUAGCGAGGUUAACCGUAUAGGGGAGCCGUAGGGAAACCGAGUCUUAACUGGGCGUCUAGUUGCAAGGUGUAGACCCGAAACCGGGUGAUCUAGCCAUGGGCAGGUUGAAGGUUGAGUAACAUCAACUGGAGGACCGAACCCACUAACGUUGCAAAGUUAGGGGAUGACCUGUGGCUGGGGGUGAAAGGCCAAUCAAACUCGGAGAUAGCUGGUUCUCCCCGAAAGCUAUUUAGGUAGCGCCUCGGACGAAUACUACUGGGGGUAGAGCACUGUUUGGGCUAGGGGGUCAUCCCGACUUACCAACCCCAUGCAAACUCCGAAUACCAGUAAGUAAUAUCCGGGAGACACACGGCGGGUGCUAACGUCCGUCGUGAAGAGGGAAACAACCCAGACCGCCGGCUAAGGUCCCAAAGUUCUGGUUAAGUGGGAAACGAUGUGGGAAGGCUCAGACAGCUAGGAUGUUGGCUUAGAAGCAGCCAUCAUUUAAAGAAAGCGUAAUAGCUCACUAGUCGAGUCGGCCUGCGCGGAAGAUGUAACGGGGCUCAAACCAGGCACCGAAGCCGCGGAUUCACACUAAGUGUGAGUGGUAGGGGAGCGUUCUGUAAGUCUGCGAAGGUGUAUCGAGAGGUAUGCUGGAGAUAUCAGAAGUGCGAAUGCUGACGUAAGUAACGAUAAAGGGGGUGAAAAGCCUCCUCGCCGGAAGACCAAGGGUUCCUGUCCAACGUUAAUCGGGGCAGGGUGAGUCGACCCCUAAGGUGAGGCCGAAAGGCGUAAUCGAUGGGAAGCAGGUUAAUAUUCCUGCACGACUUGUAAUUGCGAUGGGGGGACGGAGAAGGCUAGGUGGGCCAGGCGACGGUUGUCCUGGUGAA
Molecule: ribosomal RNA, 1455 nt
Filed under: Aeromonas caviae
Lineage: Bacteria; Pseudomonadati; Pseudomonadota; Gammaproteobacteria; Aeromonadales; Aeromonadaceae
Description: partial 23S ribosomal RNA
Rfam family: Bacterial large subunit ribosomal RNA
Source: RNAcentral